UGGACGUUGGCCGACCGGCGCGAGGCAACAGGCUUUUAACCUGUAUUAACUGAGUUCGAUUCUCAGGCGUUCAA
This 74-nucleotide transfer RNA is filed under the name Pseudomonas phage phiPsa374. It matches the Rfam family "tRNA". From Rfam's summary of the family: Transfer RNA (tRNA) molecules are approximately 80 nucleotides in length. Their secondary structure includes four short double-helical elements and three loops (D, anti-codon, and T loops). The record is from Rfam by way of RNAcentral. Lineage: Duplodnaviria; Heunggongvirae; Uroviricota; Caudoviricetes; Vandenendeviridae.